Molecule: non-coding RNA, 137 nt
Organism: Gossypium hirsutum (cotton)
Lineage: Eukaryota; Viridiplantae; Streptophyta; Magnoliopsida; Malvales; Malvaceae
Source: Rfam
UGUUAAAAAUUUCAUCCAUUUAUACUGUUAAAAACUGGCGUAGUUGAUGGAAUAAUUAGACAGUGACAUGCCACGUGUACCUUAUGCUAAUGUAUAAAAACCAAUUUUUAACAACAAAAAUGAUGAAAUUUUUAACA